GCCCGGAUAGCUCAGUUGGAUAGAGCAGCGCUUUCCUAAAGCGCAGGUCGCAGGUUCGAGCCCUGCUCCGGGUG
Molecule: transfer RNA, 74 nt
Filed under: Phycisphaerales bacterium
Lineage: Bacteria; Pseudomonadati; Planctomycetota; Phycisphaerae; Phycisphaerales
Description: tRNA-Arg
Rfam family: tRNA
About the family: Transfer RNA (tRNA) molecules are approximately 80 nucleotides in length. Their secondary structure includes four short double-helical elements and three loops (D, anti-codon, and T loops).
Source: RNAcentral